ACCUCUCUGGUGUAUCGGUUAACAUAGCGGAUUCUCAUGAUAAUAUCAUCAUUUUCCGUUGCGCGGGGUUCGACUCCCCGGAGGGGUA
Collariella sp. IMI 366227 is the source of this 88-nucleotide non-coding RNA. The record is from the annotation of a GenBank genome assembly. NCBI's taxonomy places the organism in Eukaryota, Fungi, Ascomycota, Sordariomycetes, Sordariales, Chaetomiaceae.